RNAcentral lists this ribosomal RNA (446 nucleotides) under uncultured bacterium. Its description in RNAcentral is "partial 16S ribosomal RNA". It matches the Rfam family "Bacterial small subunit ribosomal RNA", at positions 338 to 795 of the family's 1533-position model. The record is from RNAcentral.
CCUACGGGUGGCAGCAGUCGAGAAUCAUUCACAAUGGGGGAAACCCUGAUGGUGCGACGCCGCGUGGGGGAAUGAAGGUCUUCGGAUUGUAAACCCCUGUCAUGUGGGAGCAAAUUAAAAAGAUAGUACCACAAGAGGAAGAGACGGCUAACUCUGUGCCAGCAGCCGCGGUAAUACAGAGGUCUCAAGCGUUGUGCGGAAUCACUGGGCGUAAGGCGUGCGUAGGCUGUUUCGUAAGUCGUGUGUGAAAGGCGCGGGCUCAACCCGCGGACGGCACAUGAUACUGCGAGACUAGAGUAAUGGAGGGGGAACCGGAAUUCUCGGUGUAGCAGUGAAAUGCGUAGAUAUCGAGAGGAACACUCGUGGCGAAGGCGGGUUCCUGGACAUUAACUGACGCUGAGGCACGAAGGCCAGGGGAGCGAAAGGGAUUAGAUACCCUAGUAGUC